UUAAGAGAACAGUAAAGAAAUAACCACAAACAAUGGAUACAACUUUGCACAAGUCAGUGAUAAUUAAUGAUUUAAAAUCAUCGAUAAAAAAUGUGAAAUAGAAAACAAAAGACAGGACAAUUUGAUUCUGGUAACUCGUACACUCUUGCAGGCCACGCUUUCACGCGCACAUCGAUAAAAAUCCGCGCUGAAAGCAAUAUUUUUUUCUCUCAUUAGAAAAAAAAACUACAAACUCGAGGAUAACUAGAGACUAACGAAAAUUGUUAAUAUCGAUACAAUAGAAAUAAUUGAUUAUAAUUAAGAAUCUGAGCGCCAGUGAGCGCAUGGAUACAUUGGGUAGUUAUGAAAAAAAAAUGUAUUGUAAAUAAUUCACAAAUAAUCGUUACAACGAUUCCAGCAACAGUCUUGUAGCUCGGGUGGUAGUGAUUGUAGCUCUUGAAAAUAAAGGCAUUGGAAAUAUUGAAAGGGGCAGUUGUAGAGACUGUGCAUUAACAUUACAGGCAAAUAAACAGUAGGUAAUUCAACAAAAGUUUGAAUUCUAUUUCAAUUAUGUUAUGGGGUAGAUUGAAGCUGAUUUUUCGAAAAUAUCCUGUCAAUCAAACUCAACAGCUGAUAAUUGACAGUGAAAACAGCAAAUGAGAACAGACAAUUGUACCAUGGAGAAGAAAAAAAAUUCUCUUCUCCUCAUUAAGGAAAAAAAAUUAAUUUUCUUCCUUCAAGAUCAGAGAUAAUAAGUUAAUAACAGCUACUAAUCGUUUUCCCGGUUGAACAUUGAAGGCACAUUGCCUCCGCAUAAUUCAGUACUCGAUAAUAGCUGCCUCAGCUGCAUUUCGAUUUAAAAAUAAUUAACAUUUUUCAUGUCUGCGAGGUUGGAUGAUUCACGUUGAAUGAUGAAAGGCAGUCGGUGUGGAUCUGGAGAAUGACGAGUGUCUCCAUUCCAUCAUUCCCCCGGUCAUUAAGGGAACUCGUGGAAGCGAGACUCUGACAUCCUGGCUAUGUUCAUGGCAGUGAUAAGACUUUGCACUUCCUACUAUUUGUCUGGGUGAAUUUCCUCUCAUUCAGUUGACGAAGAAUUAAACCUCGGGGACACGUGUUCGUGAAGGCUCUGGCAGUGACGUUUAUACUGGUUGUUCGUCUGCAAUUUAAACAAAAAUGGAGCGUUUAGGUCCGACUUGGAUGUAUGAGUGUACGAGGUGGGGUGCGGCACAGUGGCUCGAGAGGUAUCCUGAUCUUGGUGAAGGUCGCCUGGUGCAUUCUAGGCGGGCAAAAACUUCACUAGGAAACCACGCCCUAGCUCUCUCACGUCGUUCCGUCCUCGGGGGGACAUUUCACCGUGUCAGUAGCAGAAGUACUUGAAGACAGCAGAGUUCAAACGAAAGACGUCUAGUGGGAGCGCUCACGUAGGUCGAGUAGUCUCGCGACGUUCCUGCAGGCGAGGUUGAGUGUUCGCCUACAGGCAAAGGUUGGCCCCACGCGCGACUCCGCCGCGUGGUAAAUGCCACUGGUUGGCAUUACAGCAACAACACCGGUGUCUCCCGGUUGUACCGAGACCUUCGGAUGCAUCUAAACCGCCAGUAUGAGCGCCAACGGGGUUGCGGCGUUGAUGUCUAUUAGGCCUUUAUUUUUACUCAUGAAAAUACCUCAUGUCUCCACUAAUCGAUUAUCGAUUAUCACCGGACCGAUUAUGAUCAUGACACCAGCGAUUAUCUCCAUACAUCCGCCAUGUUUGAUGUGUAAGCAAUGGAUUUUUUAAUUAUGGAUCUUCGGCAGAGAAUCGAUAUCAAGAGCCAAUCGAUUACCUCAUUCAGCAUAAAACAUCGCUCAUCAUCUCUAUUAUGUUGGUCGUAACGUACAGCUCUGAGUUGCGACGUCACCUUUCCCGAGACGAUAUUGACACAGAUAUGAUUUUUUUUUUGCAACUUCAAGAGGUUAAGGAUAUCGCAUUAGUUUGGCCAAUUUUUUUCUCCAGUUAAAUGCUUUUCCACCUGAAUUAUUUCCUCAAAUGAGGAUAUUAUCAUCAAAAUUUCUCUUUGUUCAGAACAAGCAAAGUGCCCGCAGAGAAAGAUUCAAUAAAAUUCGCAGUUCAUAGAAUCGAGUGGAAAAUCUUACAUCACAGUAUCAGAAUUUUUCAUUGUCGAUGCAAAUAAAAAUUACGAAACGUUCAGGAAAAUUCUGUAACAGUUUCGUAAAAUUUUCUAUAAUCGCACUUCACUCCGAAAUUAUGGAAAAAAUACCUAACUUUUAUUGAAUAUUUUUCUCCGUUAAAAAAAAAAAGAUGAAUCACAUUUGACUACCGACUAAUUUUUGAUAGAUAUCUCAGAUUCUAGAGAAGAUGGAGAAGAUGGACUCGACUCAGAGAUAACUCAGUUUAUCUUAUGGUACCACUUGGCUACUGAAUCAACAAUAAAAAUUAAUUUAUUUUUGCCAACACGUUCAUUCAUUUUUGAGUGGUAGUCUCGCUCCUUAUCAGAUCAAUGACUUUAGUUUCCUCAUAAAUAUACGGCCCAAAAUAUUUCAAAACAAACUUGUAGCUCAUCCAUAUCGUUAAUAGCUAACAAUAAACGUUUCUCACCUGUCCCUUCAAAUUUUCAUCCAUCAUAUCAAUUUUACAUUCAAAAUUGCUGUCAAAUUCACUUGACCAUAACCAUCCGAAGAACUAAUCUCAGUUUUACUUCUUUUGUAAUGGCAAUGAACAGCUCUUCCUUCACUUUUAUUUAACCUCAAGUUUCCGGAUAUUUUACAAGGACUUUAUUGUUUAAAAGUUGCAUUAUAAAUAUCCAAAAAAAAAAUAAUUAUAUUCAAUUCGAAUCGUAAGAAAUUUUUGAACAUUUAGAAUUUUGUCAACAAAAUGUCUCCGAAAAUUUAUCCAAUUUCAUUUCCACUCAUUUUUAUAUUUAUAAUGAAAAAGGUCACCAAAAGAAAUAUUU
Diachasmimorpha longicaudata is the source of this 2927-nucleotide long non-coding RNA. RefSeq lists it as uncharacterized. The transcript has 4 exons. The record is from RefSeq and is a predicted model, not a curated record. NCBI's taxonomy places the organism in Eukaryota, Metazoa, Arthropoda, Insecta, Hymenoptera, Braconidae.